Doryrhamphus excisus (bluestripe pipefish) is the source of this 223-nucleotide small nucleolar RNA. RefSeq annotates it as small nucleolar RNA U3. Lineage: Eukaryota; Metazoa; Chordata; Actinopteri; Syngnathiformes; Syngnathidae. The record is from RefSeq and is a predicted model, not a curated record.
AAGACUGUACUUUCAGGGAUUAUUUCUAUAGUUAUUGCCUUGAGAAAUGUGUUUCUAAAGUGUAUGGUCUCGCUAGCCCUGAUGAUGAGAUGUGAUAUUCCUUCCUGAACAUGAACCUGACAGACAAUAGUGAUUCUAUCAUAUUGUAGCGUUGCGUGUGUGUUGUAUUGUAUAUAUGUAUACUGUAUAUAUGCUGUAGUUUCAUGCAUGGACGCUGGGGGGC